Long non-coding RNA from Eucalyptus grandis, 895 nucleotides. RefSeq lists it as uncharacterized. NCBI's taxonomy places the organism in Eukaryota, Viridiplantae, Streptophyta, Magnoliopsida, Myrtales, Myrtaceae. The transcript has 3 exons. The record is from RefSeq and is a predicted model, not a curated record.
CUCCGUUGGCGGCUGAUUUCAUGUGACUCUCGUCAGAUAGACCCAUGCUUUGUAGAGAUGAUGCUUUAGGGUUUGAAGGAGGGUUAGGGUUUUUGCUUGUUCGGCUCGAGGAAACCUGAACCGAUCCCAGAAAUCCGUCAAGGAGUCUUCCUGAGGAAUCGUGACAUAUACACGAGAUAGCACCCUCCAUUGAUCCAGUAAUCUCAGGCCUCAGCCAAUGGUUCAACCGAACAUUGGAGGGAAAAUUGUAACGCGCAUCAAGCCUUUUUCCAUCCUUGUCUGAUACAAUAGCCAGAUUCCCACCUUUCCAAUCUGCUGAUUCAGCCAAAUAAGGCUCUUGAAGAAAUGGGUACUGGCUCCAAACUGAGCAGGAUUUCGUUCAUUCAUAAGCGUGCUUGAAGCAACGCAUAAUCCAGAUAUGUCCAAUAUUAAGUCUGGACGUUGAUGGUGGCGCCCUUGAGUCUUCCUGUGUUUCUCACGGCCUCAAAUCUGCACGACGAUGACAAGGGUUGCCUUUCUCAGGCGACCACCCGCUAUGGUUGGAUUCCCUAGGUGACCAUCUGUGGUGGUUGCACUCUCCAGGCGACUACCAGAAGGGUCGCCUGAGAACCUGCUAUGGUUGCACUUCCCAGGCACCCAUUCGUGGUGGUGGUGGCACUAUCCAAGGGAUCACCAUAGCGGUGGUCACGAUCUUUGCCGUGCUGGCUGCGGCAAUUUUGGCAUUUACGUUAUCUUAUUUGGCCUUUUUCAGUUUUAGAAUUGAAUUUUUAUUCUUUCUUCAAUCCUAUCCUAAUUAAGUGCACUCACUUGAUGAGAUUUAUCCCUCAAUAUGAAGGAAUUUGCUAUCUCAUCUUAUUCUAUCGUAGCUCAAUUCCUGUAUUCACAACUAAACAGG